Molecule: ribosomal RNA, 463 nt
Filed under: uncultured bacterium
Lineage: Bacteria
Description: bacterial SSU rRNA
Rfam family: Bacterial small subunit ribosomal RNA
Source: RNAcentral
UGCCAGACUCCUACGGGAGGCAGCAGUGGGGAAUAUUGCACAAUGGGGGGAACCCUGAUGCAGCGACGCCGCGUGGGUGAAGGAGCACCUCGGUGCGUAAAGCCCUAUCGGCAGGGAAGAAAAGCGAACAGGUUCGCCUGGACGGUACCUGACUAAGAAGCCCCGGCUACCUACGUGCCAGCAGCCGCGGGAAUACGUAGGGGGCAAGCGUUAUCCGGAUUCACUGGGUGUAAAGGGAGCGUAGACGGCGACGCAAGUCUGGAGUGAAAGCCCGGGGCCCAACCCCGGGACUGCUUUGGAAACUGCCAUGCUGGAGUGCUGGAGAGGUAAGCGGAAUUCCUAGUGUAGCGGUGAAAUGCGUAGAUAUUAGGAGGAACACCAGUGGCGAAGGCGGCUUACUGGACAGUAACUGACGUUGAGGCUCGAAAGCGUGGGGAGCAAACAGGAUUAGAUACCCUUGUAU